UAGAAUCUUAAACUCCACAUUCCAAAAUCCUAUCUCACCCUUCAACUCUAAACUCUAAGACUAUGAUUAACCCCAAUCUCUUAACUAGGGUUCUUAGGUUCGGCUAAGAGACAAUUUUUAGUUUUUCUUAGUUUUUAAUUAAGAAAAGCUAAGAACCGUCUCUUAAAUAAGAGAUAUAAGAGCCGUCUCUUAGCCGAAAAGUGCAAAAAAAAAACAAAAAAAUGUCAAAUCAUGAGUUAAAAACUCUGGCUAAGAGACAGUGGUUAAUCAUGCCCUAAGUCUAAAUUAAUUAACCCUAGGACUAUAAGUGUAUUUUAUACCUCUUUAAAAGUGAGGGUAAAAGUGGUUAAGUUAAACAUGAAAAAGUGAUAUCAGAAAUUUGAUAUUUUAGGCAAUUCCCAAC
RNAcentral lists this long non-coding RNA (403 nucleotides) under Brassica rapa (field mustard). RNAcentral's name for it is "long non-coding RNA (BRAP_LNC007810)". Lineage: Eukaryota; Viridiplantae; Streptophyta; Magnoliopsida; Brassicales; Brassicaceae. The record is from RNAcentral.